UGAGCCUACGGGACGCAGCAGUGAGGAAUAUUGGUCAAUGGCCGAGAGGCUGAACCAGCCAAGUCGCGUGAGGGAAGACGGCCCUACGGGUUGUAAACCUCUUUUGUCGGGGAGCAAAGCGAGUCACGUGUGACUCAUUGAGAGUACCCGAAGAAAAAGCAUCGGCUAACUCCGUGCCAGCAGCCGCGGUAAUACGGAGGAUGCGAGCGUUAUCCGGAUUUAUUGGGUUUAAAGGGAGCGUAGACGGCUGCGCAAGUCUGAAGUGAAAGCCCGGGGCUCAACCCCGGGACUGCUUUGGAAACUGU
Molecule: ribosomal RNA, 305 nt
Filed under: uncultured bacterium
Lineage: Bacteria
Description: bacterial SSU rRNA
Rfam family: Bacterial small subunit ribosomal RNA
Source: RNAcentral